RNAcentral lists this ribosomal RNA (407 nucleotides) under uncultured bacterium. RNAcentral describes it as "partial 16S ribosomal RNA". It matches the Rfam family "Bacterial small subunit ribosomal RNA", at positions 30 to 526 of the family's 1533-position model. The record is from RNAcentral.
AUUGAAAGCUGGCGGCAGGCCUAACACAUGCACGUCGAGCGGAGCGACGGAUGGGUGAGUGAUGCCUAGGAAUCUGCCUGGUAGUGGGGGAUAACGUCCGUUAACGGGCGCUAAUACCGCAUACUAUCAGAUGAGCCUCGGUCGGAUUAGCUAGGUGGUGGGGUAAAGGCCUACCCAGGCGACGAUCCGUAACUGGUCUGAGAGGAUGACCAGUCACACUGGAACUGAGACACGGUCCAGACUCCUACGUGAGGCAGCAGUGGGGAAUAUUGGACAAUGGGCUAAAGCCUGAUCCAGCCAUGCCGCGUGUGUGAAGAAGGGCAUCGGAUUGUAAAGCACUUUAAGUUGGGAGGCGUUACCAACAGAAUAAGCACCGGCUAACUUCGUGCCAGCCGCCGCGGUAAUUC